CUUUGAUUUUCUGUCGUUCACCUUUUCCUCUUCGUCUCUUCUGUUUCACAAGAAGCACAACUGACAAACACAACUGAAAAACAGUCCUAAUUUCAUGCCCAGUAACAGAUCCACAUUCAAGGUGGUUAUAACAAUUCCCAUCUUCUAUAUAAAUGUUCUUCAACAUCCUCCAAAUAAAAAAAAACGCACCUCAAAACCUCUGUUUUAAUCAUAAACCAAUGCCCCACCAGAUCUUCCUUUCGAAAACCUCUUUCAGUUUCACAAAGCUAAAUUCGUUUGAAAACAACAAUUCAGACGGAGCUGCAGCAUGUCUCUCGAUUUUACUCAUCUCUCUAAUCUUAAUUCUUUAAAAAGAGAAUGGAAGAUCAAAGUUCUAAUAGCCAGGACAUGGAAUUUUUAUCCAAAAGAUAAACCUGGAGUUAUUCUGGUUAUUGAAUCAAUUUUGGUGGAUGCAAAAGGGGGAUCGAAUUCAAGCAUCAGUGAAAAACACUUUAGUUAGAAAAUUCAAAAAGUAAUUGGUGUACUUAUAGUAUUCUCAAAUCUUAUCA
This is a long non-coding RNA of Camelina sativa (false flax), 548 nucleotides long. RefSeq lists it as uncharacterized. The record is from RefSeq and is a predicted model, not a curated record. Lineage: Eukaryota; Viridiplantae; Streptophyta; Magnoliopsida; Brassicales; Brassicaceae.